UACGUAGGUGGCUAGCGUUGUCCGGAUUUACUGGGCGUAAAGCGCGCGCAGGCGGUCGUUCAAGUCGAGUGUGAAAGCCCCCGGCUCAACUGGGGAGGGUCACUCGAUACUGUUCGACUUGAAGGCAGAAGAGGGAAGCGGAAUUCCCGGUGUAGUGGUGAAAUGCGUAGAUAUCGGGAGGAACACCAGUGGCGAAGGCGGCUUUCUGGUCUGUUCUUGACGCUGAGGCGCGAAAGCUAGGGUAGCAAACGGG
Molecule: ribosomal RNA, 253 nt
Filed under: uncultured bacterium
Lineage: Bacteria
Description: partial 16S ribosomal RNA
Rfam family: Bacterial small subunit ribosomal RNA
Source: RNAcentral